UGGCAUUAAUCAAUUGCAUUGCUAUUCCAAUUCAAUAUCACUGCAUAUGUUGUAGUUACUGUUGGUGCAGCAAAAUGCAAACUCAGGAGUAAAAGACUGUGCUUUGUGCCUGGACCUAUUUGACUCCACAUACAGAAGGUUUUGAUGGUCAUGUUAGAGCAGAGUGAAAACAUGAUCAGACACCUGCAGAGAAACUUUCCUUUAUUCCUCAUUAGGAGAUGCUGUUUGUAAACUUUAAAGUGCAAAAUCCUCUACAGUUCCUGAAUUUCCUGGACCCAUAAAAAUGUUUGUCCCACAUUUAGGUACCUACUUAACAUGAAGAUGGCAAGAAUGAAGGCUUUUGC
RNAcentral lists this long non-coding RNA (344 nucleotides) under Homo sapiens (human). RNAcentral's name for it is "HSALNT0349340". Lineage: Eukaryota; Metazoa; Chordata; Mammalia; Primates; Hominidae. The record is from RNAcentral.